RNAcentral lists this ribosomal RNA (688 nucleotides) under uncultured Alphaproteobacteria bacterium. RNAcentral describes it as "bacterial SSU rRNA". It matches the Rfam family "Bacterial small subunit ribosomal RNA", at positions 28 to 762 of the family's 1533-position model. The record is from RNAcentral. Lineage: Bacteria; Pseudomonadati; Pseudomonadota; Alphaproteobacteria.
AACGAACGCUGGCGGCAUGCCUAAUACAUGCAAGUCGAACGAGACCUUCGGGUCUAGUGGCGCACGGGUGCGUAACGCGUGGGAAUCUGCCCUUGGGUUCGGAAUAACGUCGGGAAACUGACGCUAAUACCGGAUGAUAUCGAAAGAUCAAAGAUUUAUCGCCCAGGGAUGAGCCCGCGUAGGAUUAGCUAGUUGGUGGGGUAAAGGCUCACCAAGGCUACGAUCCUUAGCUGGUCUGAGAGGAUGAUCAGCCACACUGGGACUGAGACACGGCCCAGACUCCUACGGGAGGCAGCAGUAGGGAAUAUUGGACAAUGGGGGCAACCCUGAUCCAGCAAUGCCGCGUGAGUGAUGAAGGCCUUAGGGUUGUAAAGCUCUUUUACCCGAGAUGAUAAUGACAGUAUCGGGAGAAUAAGCUCCGGCUAACUCCGUGCCAGCAGCCGCGGUAAUACGGAGGGAGCUAGCGUUGUUCGGAAUUACUGGGCGUAAAGCGCACGUAGGCGGCGAUUUAAGUCAGAGGUGAAAGCCCGGGGCUCAACCCCGGAACUGCCUUUGAGACUGGAUUGCUAGAAUCUUGGAGAGGCGGGUGGAAUUCCGAGUGUAGAGGUGAAAUUCGUAGAUAUUCGGAAGAACACCAGUGGCGAAGGCGGCCCGCUGGACAAGUAUUGACGCUGAGGUGCGAAAGCGU